AACCACCAAGUUCUCAUGUUUCGGCUGGGUUUGAGCCUUAAAACCCAACGAUAAGGUUACAGAAGAAACCAUAGACCACCAAGUUCUCAUGUUUCGUUGGGUUUGAGCCUUAAAACCCAAUGAUAAGGUUACAGAAGAAACCAGAGACAACACAUGGUGUUAUUGCGAAGGGUACGUGAAGGCAAAACAACUUUGUAAAAAAUGUGUGGCAGUCAGAUUAAUGCAUCAAGAGUUGGUCGAUUUUGACCAUAUGGCUGAGUGGAUAGCUGGCCCAUCCGUUCAGCUCUCUCUCUUAGUUGGCUCAGACGCUCAGUUCGUUAUACCAAACCAGCGCUUUCUCUUACAUGGCUCAGCUCAGUAUACCAUUUCACAGGUGCUCAGGCAGAGGAAGCAGAAUUGGGGAAGUUCGAAUCCUUCUAAUCACGGUGAACUCACCAGUGCCAAGCAAACAAUUACACCAUAGCUGGCCAAUAAAGAAACAAAAACGAGACAUCACGGUGUCAGUAAGUUGAAGUACACAACAUAUGAGACGAAAGGCAAAAAGCAUUGAAGAGAACCCCAAAAUUGUUCUUGCUCAAACAAAAAUAUGCAAGGGUCAGCAAGGUUGUAUUGGACUGGGGUAACAGAGUGUAUGGAAUUCCCAUUUACUCGUUUCCGUACACUUAAAACACCAGCUAGCACAUCAGGGUUAUUAGUAACUGGGACACAUUUAGAGAAACUCCGAAUGAUGGCACCUUUGUUUACAAGAGAGUGGGAGAGCUGACUAGACAUCUUUGCACCUAGGAAAUACACAGAUUCAUGCUUUGAGCACUUGAGAUCCAAGUUUGAAUGAUCAG
This 836-nucleotide long non-coding RNA is filed under the name Zea mays. Its description in RNAcentral is "long non-coding RNA (ZMAY_LNC005645)". Lineage: Eukaryota; Viridiplantae; Streptophyta; Magnoliopsida; Poales; Poaceae. The record is from RNAcentral.